CGAUUCCGGAGAGGGAGCCUGAGAAAUAGCUACCACAUCCAAGGAAGGCAGCAGGCGCGCAAAUUACCCACUCCCGAAACGGGGAGGUAGUGACGAUAAAUAACGAUGCGGGACUCAAUCGAGGCCCCGUAAUUGGAAUGAGUACACUUUAAAUCCUUUAACGAGGAUCAAUUGGAGGGCAAGUCUGGUGCCAGCAGCCGCGGUAAUUCCAGCUCCAAUAGCGUAUAUUAAAGUUGUUGCAGUUAAAAAGCUCGUAGUUGGAUCUCAGGAUUUGGAUGGAUGGUUCGCUUUCGGGCGCUACUAUCUGUCUGACCUACUCUAGUCGUGGAUGCCUUGGGUGCUCUUAAUUGAGUGCUUUUGGUGCCCGACGCAAUUACUUUGAAAAAAAUUAGAGUGCUCAAAGCAGGCGUAUUGCCUGAAUAGUGUUGCAUGGAAUAAUGAAAUAGGAGUUUACUUCUAUUUUGUUGGUUUUCGGAGGUGAACUAAUGAUUAACAGGGACAGACGGGGGCAUUUGUAUGGAGGGGUUAGAGGUGAAAUUCUUGGAUCCUCUCCAGACAAACUACUGCGAAAGCAUUUGCCAGGAAUGUUUUCACUAAUCAAGAACGAAAGUCAGAGGUUCGAAGACGAUCAGAUACCGUCCUAGUUCUGACCAUAAAUGAUGCCAUCUAACAAUCCACGAAGUUUGCUUGUACGAACUCGUGGGCGGUCCCCGGGAAACCAAAGAUUUUGGGUUCCGGGGGAAGUAUGGUUGCAAAGCUGAAACUUAAAGGAAUUGACGGAAGGGCACCACCAGGAGUGGAGCCUGCGGCUUAAUUUGACCCAACACGGGAAACCUCACCCGGCCCGGACACUUUUAGGAUUGACAGAUUGAAGGCUCUUUCUUGAUCAAGUGGUUGGUGGUGCAUGGCCGUUCUUAGUUGGUGGAGCGAUUUGUCUGGUUAAUUCCGAUAACGAACGAGACUCUACUCUGCUAAAUAGAACGUUGAUAUAUAAAAGUCAGUGCUGACUUCUUAGAGAGACUAACGGCGUUUAGCCGUGUGAGAAAGAGCAAUAACAGGUCUGUGAUGCCCUUAGAUGUCCGGGGCCGCACGCGCGCUACACUGACUGCAGCAACUAGUAUGCUCCUGGUUUGAAAAAACUGGGUAACCUGGUUGAAUUGCAGGCGUGACAGGGAUCAGAGUUUGCAAUUAUCCUCUGUGAACGAGGAAUUCCCAGUAAGCGCAAGUCAUUAGCUUGUGCUGAUUACGUCCCUGCCCUUUGUACACACCGCCCGUCGCUACUACCGAUUGAAUGGUUUAGUGAGGUCUUCGGAUUGGUGCUGAUGGAGUGGUUCUCUGCUCUGUUAGUGCCGAGAAGAUGAUCAAACUUGAUCAUUUAGAGGAAGUAAAAGUCGUAACAAGGUU
RNAcentral lists this ribosomal RNA (1404 nucleotides) under metagenome. RNAcentral's name for it is "SSU rRNA". It matches the Rfam family "Eukaryotic small subunit ribosomal RNA", at positions 378 to 1801 of the family's 1831-position model. The record is from RNAcentral.